GACUGCUUCCUCCUGCUCACCGUGG
RNAcentral lists this unclassified non-coding RNA (25 nucleotides) under Mus musculus (house mouse). Its description in RNAcentral is "oocyte_clustered_small_RNA11360". Lineage: Eukaryota; Metazoa; Chordata; Mammalia; Rodentia; Muridae. The record is from RNAcentral.